Molecule: ribosomal RNA, 562 nt
Filed under: uncultured bacterium
Lineage: Bacteria
Description: bacterial SSU rRNA
Rfam family: Bacterial small subunit ribosomal RNA
Source: RNAcentral
CCUACGGGAGGCAGCAGUGGGGAAUAUUGGACAAUGGGCGCAAGCCUGAUCCAGCAAUGCCGCGUGAGUGAUGAAGGCCUUAGGGUCGUAAAGCUCUUUUACCAGGGAUGAUAAUGACAGUACCUGGAGAAUAAGCUCCGGCUAACUCCGUGCCAGCAGCCGCGGUAAUACGGAGGGAGCUAGCGUUGUUCGGAAUUACUGGGCGUAAAGCGUACGUAGGCGGUUAUUCAAGUCAGAGGUGAAAGCCCGGGGCUCAACCCCGGAACGGCCUUUGAAACUAGGUAGCUAGAAUCUUGGAGAGGUCAGUGGAAUUCCGAGUGUAGAGGUGAAAUUCGUAGAUAUUCGGAAGAACACCAGUGGCGAAGGCGACUGACUGGACAAGUAUUGACGCUGAGGUACGAAAGCGUGGGGAGCAAACAGGAUUAGAUACCCUGGUAGUCCACGCCGUAAACGAUGAUAACUAGCUGUCCGGGCACUUAGGUGCCUGGGUGGCGCAGCUAACGCAUUAAGUUAUCCGCCUGGGGAGUACGGUCGCAAGAUUAAAACUCAAAGGAAUUGACGG